GAACUUUGAGUUCUAUUACAGACCCUGUGUAGUGAGAAAAGCUGGGAUACAUGAAGACUGCCAUCCCUUGAGUCACUUGCCCUGUAGCUGCCACUGUUGGAAAAGGGCUUGCUUCUGUGUCCUUGUGCCCACUUUGAAAAUCCCUGGGAAGUCCUUGGAGUCAGAUGAGCAGGCCUCCGCCACUCUGCCAAAAAGUCUGUUCAGAAGUUUCACAUCACUAGAGAAGAGAGAAGAAGGACAUUUGUACUGGGAGGAGUCGACCGGUCCCAGUAAGGAGAAAGUAGCUACAGCGUCAUGGGUGAGCUGGGUCCCCCAAAAAGGAACUUUAAGGGAAUGGACUGAAUCAAGUCUGAGAUGUCCCCAAAGCAAGACCAAAGAACUGAGGAAGAGAAGCAUUCAUCAGAAACCAAAAUUCAGCUACAAGUGAGCAUCCAGAUGGAGGUAUUAUGAAGAGGAACUGAGACUGAGGGCAAAAGGUGC
This 480-nucleotide long non-coding RNA is filed under the name Homo sapiens (human). RNAcentral describes it as "non-protein coding lnc-DRD5-10:1". Lineage: Eukaryota; Metazoa; Chordata; Mammalia; Primates; Hominidae. The record is from RNAcentral.